CCUACGGGUGGCAGCAGUGGGGAAUAUUGCACAAUGGGGGAAACCCUGAUGCAGCGACGCCGCGUGAAGGAAGAAGGUUUUCGGAUCGUAAACUUCUAUCAGCAGGGAAGAAGAAAGUGACAGUACCUGACUAAGAAGCCCCGGCUAACUACGUGCCAGCAGCCGCGGUAAUACGUAGGGGGCUAGCGUUAUCCGGAAUUACUGGGCGUAAAGGGUGCGUAGGCGGCCCUUCAAGUCAGAGGUGAAAGGCUACGGCUCAACCGUAGUAAGCCUUUGAAACUGUAGGGCUUGAGUGCAGGAGAGGAGAGUGGAAUUCCCAGUGUAGCGGUGAAAUGCGUAGAUAUUGGGAGGAACACCAGUUGCGAAGGCGGCUCUCUGGACUGUAACUGACGCUGAGGCACGAAAGCGUGGGGAGCGAACAGGAUUAGAUACCCUAGUAGUC
Molecule: ribosomal RNA, 442 nt
Filed under: uncultured bacterium
Lineage: Bacteria
Description: bacterial SSU rRNA
Rfam family: Bacterial small subunit ribosomal RNA
Source: RNAcentral